UGCCUUUGAAGCCCAGCCUGGGAGUGU
This 27-nucleotide non-coding RNA is filed under the name Rattus norvegicus (Norway rat). Lineage: Eukaryota; Metazoa; Chordata; Mammalia; Rodentia; Muridae. The record is from RNAcentral.